GGGGAUUUAGCUCAGUGGUAGAGCGUUUGCCUAGCAAGCGCAAGGCCCUAGGUUCAGUCCCCA
Rattus norvegicus (Norway rat) is the source of this 63-nucleotide non-coding RNA. The record is from Rfam. NCBI's taxonomy places the organism in Eukaryota, Metazoa, Chordata, Mammalia, Rodentia, Muridae.